This 253-nucleotide ribosomal RNA is filed under the name uncultured bacterium. Its description in RNAcentral is "partial 16S ribosomal RNA". It matches the Rfam family "Bacterial small subunit ribosomal RNA", at positions 524 to 776 of the family's 1533-position model. The record is from RNAcentral.
UACGAACCGUCCAAACGUUAUUCGGAUUCAUUGGGCUUAAAGGGUACGUAGGCGGCGCUAUCAGUCGGGUGUGAAAUCCCUCGGCUCAACCGAGGAACUGCGCCCGAUACUGUAGUGCUUGAGGGAGACAGAGGUAAGCGGAACUGAUGGUGGAGCGGUGAAAUGCGUUGAUAUCAUCAGGAACACCGGUGGCGAAAGCGGCUUACUGGGUCUCUUCUGACGCUGAGGUACGAAAGCUAGGGGAGCGAACGGG